CCUACGGGAGGCAGCAGUGGGGAAUUUUGGACAAUGGGGGAAACCCUGAUCCAGCCAUGCCGCGUGCGGGAAGAAGGCCUUCGGGUUGUAAACCGCUUUCGGCCGGGACGAAAUCGCAUCGACGAAUAUUCGGUGUGGAUGACGGUACCGGAAGAAGAAGCACCGGCUAACUACGUGCCAGCAGCCGCGGUAAUACGUAGGGUGCGAGCGUUAAUCGGAAUUACUGGGCGUAAAGCGUGCGCAGGUGGCUGCGUAAGCUAGAGGUGAAAUCCCCGGGCUUAACCUGGGAACUGCCUUUAGGACUGCGUAGCUUGAGUGCGGCAGAGGGAGCUGGAAUUCCACGUGUAGCAGUGAAAUGCGUAGAUAUGUGGAGGAACACCGAUGGCGAAGGCAGGCUCCUGGGCUAGCACUGACACUCAGGCACGAAAGCGUGGGGAGCAAACAGGAUUAGAUACCCUGGUAGUCCACGCCCUAAACGAUGCGAACUAGUCGUUGGGGGAGAAAUCCCUUAGUGACGCAGCUAACGCGUGAAGUUCGCCGCCUGGGGAGUACGGUCGCAAGAUUAAAACUCAAAGGAAUUGACGG
RNAcentral lists this ribosomal RNA (585 nucleotides) under uncultured bacterium. RNAcentral describes it as "bacterial SSU rRNA". It matches the Rfam family "Bacterial small subunit ribosomal RNA", at positions 338 to 916 of the family's 1533-position model. The record is from RNAcentral.